This 337-nucleotide unclassified non-coding RNA is filed under the name soil metagenome. Its description in RNAcentral is "partial contains 5.8S ribosomal RNA, internal transcribed spacer 2, and large subunit ribosomal RNA". The stretch from base 1 to 120 matches the Rfam family "5.8S ribosomal RNA", at positions 35 to 154 of the family's 154-position model. The record is from RNAcentral.
GAUGAAGAACGCAGCGAAAUGCGAUAAGUAGUGUGAAUUGCAGAAUUCAGUGAAUCAUCGAAUCUUUGAACGCACAUUGCGCCCCAUGGUAUUCCGUGGGGCAUGCCUGUUCGAGCGUCAUUUAUCCCCUCAAGCUCCGCUUGGUGUUGGGCGUCUGUCCCGCUUCGCGCGCGGACUCGCCCCAAAGGUAUUGGCAGCGGUCGUGCCAGCUUCUCGCGCAGCACAUUGCGCUUCUCGAGGCACCGGUGGGCCCGCGUCCAUCAAGCUCACCCCCCCAGUUUGACCUCGGAUCAGGUAGGGAUACCCGCUGAACUUAAGCAUAUCAAUAAGCGGAGGA